This 662-nucleotide long non-coding RNA is filed under the name Salmo salar (Atlantic salmon). RNAcentral describes it as "lncRNA (ENSSSAG00000099840.1)". Lineage: Eukaryota; Metazoa; Chordata; Actinopteri; Salmoniformes; Salmonidae. The record is from RNAcentral.
UGUGUCAGCAAUAUUGGCAAGUCAGAAGUCAAUUUUAGUCCAUUGUAGCGUCCACCCCUGUAAACAAUUUGCAUGACGCUGGACAAGUGAAGGAGAUCCUCAUUUCAAACAAGAGCAUUAGUUGGCACAUUUCUCCACCUCAGUUACCUUUUCUUCUAAAGGGAGGCACAGUAACAGGGGAACGACGAUUAAGGAGUUGGGCAAACCAAAUUAUGAUCUCCCUAGUUGAGUGGUCGGGUGGUCUGUUCAAGGCUUGACGCUUCUGGUGAGGCGCCGGGGCCGGACGCUUCUGCUGAGGCGCUAUUGCUGAGGCGCCGGGGCCGGAUGCUAUUGCUGAGGCGCCGGGGCCGGACGCUUCUGCUGAGGCGCUUCUCCUGAGGCUUCUGCUGAGGCGCCGGACGCUUCUGCUGAGGCGCCGGACGCUUCUGCUGAGGCGCCGGACGCUUCUGCUGAGGCGCCGGACGCUUCUGCUGAGGCGCCGGACGCUUCUGCUGAGGCGCCGGACGCUUCUGCUGAGGCGCCGGGGCCGGACUUCACACUUGACGGGGCAUUGUGGCCAGUAGAUUCUGCUGACGUGGCAUUGUGGCCAGUAGCUUCUGCUGACGUGGCAUUGUGGCCAGUAGCUUCUGCUGACGUGGCAUUGUGGCCAGUAGCUUCUGCUG